AACGUAGGACGCGAGCGUUAUCCGGAUUUACUGGGCGUAAAGCGUGUGCAGGCGGUCACAUAAGUCGGAUGUGAAAGCUCCCGGCUCAACCGGGAGAGGCCAUUCGAUACUGUGUGACUGGAGGGCAGUAGAGGAGUGUGGAAUUCCGGGUGUAGUGGUGAAAUGCGUAGAUAUCCGGAGGAACACCGGUGGCGAAGGCGGCACUCUGGGCUGCACCUGACGCUGAGACACGAAAGCCAGGGUAGCGAACGGGAUUAGAAACCCCGGUAGUCCUGGCCGUAAACGAUGCAGACCAGGCGUUGGAGGUCAUUAACCCCUUCAGUGCCGAAGCAAACGCGAUAAGUCUGCCGCCUGGGGAUUACGGCCGCAAGGCUAAAACUCAAAGGAAUUGACGGGGACCCGCACAAGCAGCGGAGCGUGUGGUUUAAUUCGAGGCUACGCGAAGAACCUUACCUGGGCUUGACAUGUCGGUGGUAGGAAUUCGAAAGAAGACCGACCCUUCGGGGAGCCGUACACAGGUGCUGCAUGGCUGUCGUCAGCUCGUGCCGUGAGGUGUUAGGUUAAGUCCUGUAACGAGCGCAACCCUUGCCGUUAGUUACAAGUGUCUAACGGGACUGCCGGUGACAAACCGGAGGAAGGUGGGGAUGAAGUCAAGUCAGCAUGGCCUUUAUACCCAGGGCUACACACACGCUACAAUGGCCGGUACAAUGGGCUGCCAAGCCGCGAGGCGGAGCCAAUCCUCCAAAGCCGGUCUCAGUUCGGAUUGCAGGCUGCAACUCGCCUGCAUGAAGUCGGAGUUGCUAGUAACCGCGCGUCAGCAACAGUGCGGUGAAUACGUUCCCGGGUC
RNAcentral lists this ribosomal RNA (847 nucleotides) under uncultured bacterium. RNAcentral describes it as "SSU rRNA". It matches the Rfam family "Bacterial small subunit ribosomal RNA", at positions 524 to 1380 of the family's 1533-position model. The record is from RNAcentral.